Molecule: unclassified non-coding RNA, 2494 nt
Filed under: Venturia canescens
Lineage: Eukaryota; Metazoa; Arthropoda; Insecta; Hymenoptera; Ichneumonidae
Description: cilia- and flagella-associated protein 36, transcript variant X2
Source: RNAcentral
AGCCACCCCCACUACCUUCGUUUCAAGACCUGUAUGUAAGACCGUGCCCUCGCCACAACGGACUACGGUUCAAACUCUCAUAUAGUAAUUGUGUCGCAGUAUAGGCAGUAUAGGGAUGGUGCAGAGUCGAUAGAGGGCAGGUCGAAAGUACUCGUGGCGCCUCUAAUGUCAUAAAUUGUAAGCUUUUGGGGGUAGCAGCGGCGCGGUAGUCUACUUGCACACCAUCCCUAUAUCAUUAUUAUUUAAAUACUCCCCGUUUCAGGUGAUGAAUUGAAAAUUAAAAGGAUGGAAUAAUUCUUUUUCAUAAUUGCAGAUAAUUCGAUAUUGAGUUCAUGAGACGUUUUAUUCAUUCAUACAUUCGAAUAAAAAUCUGUAUCUGUGAGGAAUAAAAAAAGAAUUUAUUAAUUACAAUAUAAAUAAAUUAUAUUUGCACAACCAAAUAACAACAUAUAUAAACGUAGACAAAUAAACGGAGAGAUAAAAUGAUCACAAUAAGGGAUUUUAUUUUAUACACAAUUGUAAAAAAAUCUAUAAAACUGAUGAGUGUGGAAGGUGUAUGUAUAUUAGGUGUAUAUAUCGUAGCAAGCUCGCGAUUAGUAUGUUUUGAUUCAGGUAUCGCUAUGGUAACUAUAUAUCCAGCAGAUUCUGAUCCACAGUAUUUCUGAACUUUUGAGCUUGUAACACGGGGACGUUCCAUAUAAUCCACUUUUUCGAAAAGUUGAGAAAUUCGUAAAGCUUUUUUUUUCAAUAUUGACGUUUGAUUAAUGUGAUUCAGAUUAAUAAAUUAAAAAAAAAAAUGACGAAUCGUGAGGAUAGCGCGUGGGUAUUCGAUUCGCUCGUAGGAUUCUUGCAAGGGCCUAUUUGGUCCGCACCUCUGCUUACCUUCAUUGAAGAAAAAUCACUCAUUUUUGAAGCAGACACCGAAGACAGCAAAGAGUACCGCGAGGUCUACCAAGAGUAUAAGAAUUUGGUGGACCUUUUGCUCGGUUGUUAUAUGGAAGACAUAGGCAUUACGCCUGAGCAAUUUGAGCACGCUUGCACCGUAAAUAAAAACACGAAAUUACCGAUCCAGUUUCAGCAAUGCCUAUUUGAACAAAUUUGGGCGGCGAAUGAGUAUGACAUAUUCAAACGAAUGAUGAUACAAAAAAAUCUGGAGCUUCAGUUACAAGCGCUGAAUAUGAUUGAGCAAAAAUAUGGGUUGACUCCGGCAUCGCUUAUGUGCGACGGGGACGCUCUUCCCGACGACGAAUUGGUCAUGGAAGAGAUUCUCCAGAAACAAAUAAUGGAGGAACGGGAAGAAAAGGAGCCCGGAGAAAAUGAUGCUCUAGCGUUUGAAGAAGAGCACGAAAGACUGGCCUCGAAAUAUCACAGCGAAAAAGUUUUAUUGGAACAAGCUCUGAAGGCUUCGACGAGUUCAUAUCCGAGGACGUUCUCACCGGAAGCAAAACAACCGAAUAUGAUGAUAGAGGAGAGCACGGAGAACACGGAAAUUGCUGAAUCGUCGAAAUCAAAAACUGAGGAAAAUCGUGAAUUCAAUGAAUUAACGCCCCUCGAACCUACAAUCGUGGCUCCUAGUAAAAAACGACGUGUGAAAAAUGUUGUAAUUUCGGAAGGUUCUCCGGUUAAGUCGAUGGACGAGAGCCCGGAAGACAUGAAGAAACGAGAAGAAUAUCUGAAAGCGCGUCGUGACAAGCUUGUAGCGAUGAAAAAAGAAGCGCGCAGUCAAAGACUCGAGAUGACGAAAGCAAGGCCUGGUUCCGCAAAAAUAGCGGCCGAAGCGAGUAUUCGCGGUACCCAGAAUUACGAAGCAUCCCAAAUACCGGAACCAUCGAUUAUUCAAGUACGGAGAGCUCUGGCUGCGCGUUUAAAAGCCGAAGUCGGAAGAGAGUCAUACUUCCUCGUGUUAUAAGAGGGCACAGUCCAUUAUUCUCCAUGGAAAAGUGAGAAGCGGACCAAAUGGAUCAAAAGUCAAAAAAUAUCAUCAGAAAAAUUGCCCAUUCAGACACGAGAGAGCGCGCUCAUCGACGGUAGUGCUGCUCUCUAUAGCUAUAGCUCACGCACGGUCCCUGGUCCCUGUCGGCGGGCCCGGUUUGACAUGUUUGACACCUUACCGAAAUCUCGAACAGGAAAUCUGACUCGAGUGGGAGUAGCGACGACCCAUGCAAAUCGCAAUAAUAAUGUUCGAAUAAGCUGUGCUAUAAACUCUUGAUAUACCGAACCCCUGUGUCUCCUGUGUACUGGCAAAGUGAGAUUAUAAGUGAGUUUAAAUAUGUGAUAAAUGAGAACUUUUUCCAAAAUAAUGAAAUUUCCACUUGAAAUUGUCUUUCUGAUGCUAAUUAUCACUGAACAGUGCUGGAGAAUAUAUUCCAUUUUAAUAAACGCCAGCCGGUUUAUUAUCGAAGAGAAACGGAACAGUUUGAAUUACUAGAUCAUAUUUAUAUAAAAUAUGUAAAGAUAUAAAAUAAAAGGAACUGCAAAAAGUUUGCAGCGACGA